Long non-coding RNA from Astatotilapia calliptera (eastern happy), 1239 nucleotides. NCBI's taxonomy places the organism in Eukaryota, Metazoa, Chordata, Actinopteri, Cichliformes, Cichlidae. The record is from Ensembl.
UCUACUCAGCUCUUCCCAGGAGGGUGGCACCGUUCCCCCCCUUUUGGUGGUCCUCCUCGGGUCCUUGUACUCUGGGGCCUCUGGAUAUCUGGGGCCUGGAUCUCCUCCAUACCUGCUUCACACCCUGGUGGACGGGGCUAUGGCUCCCCACACUCCCUAGCAGAUCGUUACAUGGAGAAACCUUUGGAAUACAAGCAUGCUGAUCCACACAGGUGUGCACACAGGUGUACACACGGGUGUUCACAGACGCGGAUUGCAGCUUUCUUGGCUGCUGCCUCAAAGCACAUUGUGCGCUGUCUAUCUUGCGUGCUGCACAAUAUCGUUUAUUAUUUCGUUUCUACUGUUAUCUACUGCUAGCUAGUUUAUUGUGAUGGUGCUGUUUUUUUUUUAUUAUGUUGCUUUUUGCUUUCUCUUCUGUUUUUUUUCUCCAUACAGGUGAUCCAGGUGUUUUGUUUGGGUUUUUUUUUCUUUCUUCCCCCCUUUCUCACCAUCUCUUCUCCCCUUUGGUUUUCUUUCUCUCCCUCUCUUUCUUUCAUUCUUUCUCCCUGUCCUAUCCCCCAGUCAUGUCUGUCCCGUUUGUAGCAACCGAAAAUAAAAUAAAUUCAAAAUUAUAAUAAAGGUCAAUCAAAUGGACCAAUAUGGCAAGGCCAUGAUGAUCCACUUGGUAAAAUAAAUCCGCUUAGCAUCUUUCUUGGCCUUAAGACAACAAUUCUGAUGGCUAAAGAUCCAAACGGGACACAAAAAAAAAAAAAAAAAGAAACAGAAAAGAGGAAAAACUUUAAAAUUUAAACAAACUAAGCAGUAAAACGCAAGAAGCUUCUACCAAAGAGAAAACCAGAAAUUAGAAUGUGUGACAUGAUGAAAUAUAAUAGCUUCAUACAUCUGAAAUUGAGAAAUAAGAGCAGGUUCAUGAAGCAAACUGCUUUCAUUGUUGUCUCUGUUCUCCAUACACCAGGCUUGGGCCGAAUAGCAAAAAGGUUGGGUGUUUAUUGGAUGAAGCAAAGUCUACAUAUGAUGUAUGUCCCUUCUUGGAAAAAUGUAAGCUGUUUGUCAUGAAAACUUUCAAGAACUUUAAUUCCCUGAGGUCUAAGCCACCGUACUUGAUAUUUAGGUAAAAGGUAGUUAUUGGCACAUUAGUCAGAAUGAUUGUUUUCUUUGUUCCUUGAUUGACUAGACUUUGGGGAACAAUUUAAUAAAAACUAUAGUUACAUAUUCUCAUCGCCUAGGGUUAGAGUUGGC